This 957-nucleotide ribosomal RNA is filed under the name Shigella sonnei. Its description in RNAcentral is "partial 23S ribosomal RNA". It matches the Rfam family "Bacterial large subunit ribosomal RNA", at positions 474 to 1430 of the family's 2925-position model. The record is from RNAcentral. Lineage: Bacteria; Pseudomonadati; Pseudomonadota; Gammaproteobacteria; Enterobacterales; Enterobacteriaceae.
UCCUGACUGACCGAUAGUGAACCAGUACCGUGAGGGAAAGGCGAAAAGAACCCCGGCGAGGGGAGUGAAAAAGAACCUGAAACCGUGUACGUACAAGCAGUGGGAGCACGCUUAGGCGUGUGACUGCGUACCUUUUGUAUAAUGGGUCAGCGACUUAUAUUCUGUAGCAAGGUUAACCGAAUAGGGGAGCCGAAGGGAAACCGAGUCUUAACUGGGCGUUAAGUUGCAGGGUAUAGACCCGAAACCCGGUGAUCUAGCCAUGGGCAGGUUGAAGGUUGGGUAACACUAACUGGAGGACCGAACCGACUAAUGUUGAAAAAUUAGCGGAUGACUUGUGGCUGGGGGUGAAAGGCCAAUCAAACCGGGAGAUAGCUGGUUCUCCCCGAAAGCUAUUUAGGUAGCGCCUCGUGAAUUCAUCUCCGGGGGUAGAGCACUGUUUCGGCAAGGGGGUCAUCCCGACUUACCAACCCGAUGCAAACUGCGAAUACCGGAGAAUGUUAUCACGGGAGACACACGGCGGGUGCUAACGUCCGUCGUGAAGAGGGAAACAACCCAGACCGCCAGCUAAGGUCCCAAAGUCAUGGUUAAGUGGGAAACGAUGUGGGAAGGCCCAGACAGCCAGGAUGUUGGCUUAGAAGCAGCCAUCAUUUAAAGAAAGCGUAAUAGCUCACUGGUCGAGUCGGCCUGCGCGGAAGAUGUAACGGGGCUAAACCAUGCACCGAAGCUGCGGCAGCGACGCUUAUGCGUUGUUGGGUAGGGGAGCGUUCUGUAAGCCUGCGAAGGUGUGCUGUGAGGCAUGCUGGAGGUAUCAGAAGUGCGAAUGCUGACAUAAGUAACGAUAAAGCGGGUGAAAAGCCCGCUCGCCGGAAGACCAAGGGUUCCUGUCCAACGUUAAUCGGGGCAGGGUGAGUCGACCCCUAAGGCGAGGCCGAAAGGCGUAGUCGAUGGGAAACAGGU